Molecule: long non-coding RNA, 5377 nt
Organism: Sitodiplosis mosellana (orange wheat blossom midge)
Lineage: Eukaryota; Metazoa; Arthropoda; Insecta; Diptera; Cecidomyiidae
Exons: 3
Source: RefSeq, a predicted model, not a curated record
GACAAAAUGUGAAUGAGCUAUAUGUAAAUUUCGAGCAGAAAUUCCUUCGCUUUUUUUUGCUUGCUCUUUCUUUUUCGGCUGUCAAACAACCAACCGACCAAAGUGAAUGUGGCCGAAACGAAACUAUCGCAAUGAAAAUGGGAAACAAAAAACGCAAGCUAUGACGACGCUGGCAGCCAAAAAGCCAAGACAGAAAAAAAGAGAUUAAAAAUAGGUUUAAGAAAUAGAGAAAAGUGCUCGAAAAUAGAAUGGAUAAAUGCCAUUUUGAAUUUGACUUUUUUUUUCUCUGAAAAAGACGAACAAAAAACGCAACAAGAUGUCGCCGAACAGAAAACUACAUCGUGCAAACAACAGAAAACAUCCGAGAAAUGCCAUCGCAUCUUAAGCAAUGCACAAAUGCGCUGCGACAGAACAUUUUCGUAAGAUGACUGAGCAAUUAAUUUUUCACGCCACUCGCGUCUUACGACUGUGCUAGCACAGCUAUAUUCACAGCCCAUCGUCUCACGGACGUUGAAUUUUCACAUUUUCACUCGCUCCGUCUUCUCGUUUACGUGCAUUUUUUUUUUUCGUUUUUCGCAAGUGUUUUCCGUGCAGGCAGUCGUGUUUAUUUAAUUGUUUGAUGGAUUUUUGCUGUUUGAAAACACAGACAUAAGAUAAAUGAAAACGAAGACACCAAAUGGAUAGAGUAGUUUGAAUUGAAAAACUUUGUUCUAUUUUCCUCUGAAUUUCUUUUCUCUCUCUCUCUCUGGCAGAAGCGUCACUAUUUGACUAGAUAACAAAAUUUGUUUCGUUUCUGUUGAAACAAUAGAUUUUUCGAUUGGCCUAAAAAUAGGUUUGCCAGUCGUAAUAACAUUUAGUCGUUGUGAAAAUAGGGAACUUGUCAAAAGAUCAAUCAGUAGCAGAAAAAGCCUAACAAACGAUAACCGGUUCGAACCAUUAUGAUGCAAUAACUGCGAAUUUAUUUGCAAGAUAGACUCGGAACGAUGUCAAAUCAAUGUAAUUGCGUAUUGGAACUUGAAACGUAUUACGUCGAAAUUCAAUAUGACAUCGCCAGAUAGAAUACAUAUCGAUUGAGUUAGAGUGUUUUCUUUUACUCUUGGAGAGUGUAGAUUAUCAUUUUAUUAGAAGAAUGUUUUUUUUUUUUCGUUUGGUUCGUUCGUUGUUUAUCAAUAAUCUCGUCACUUAUUUUAUUAUCACUGGAGAAACUACGAAAAACACACACUCUUCUCGGGCCGAGGCGAACAUCGAAUCUGACAGAAAGAAAGACAACAAACACGUUACUAAUCAAAAACAGUUUUCUCGUUUUCUUCGCUCUCUCGCCGCUGUGUCGUUGUUGUUGUCGUCAUCGUCGUCGUCUUUGUUUUUUUUUUCAGUUGUUGAGCAUUCGUAUGCUAAACAAAGCAACAGAAAUUCAUCUUCAGUCUUCUUGUUUAUUGUAUAGAAAAUGGAAUUGAUGGUGAAGUUGAAGCGUCCAAAAAGCAAAAAGUGCGUCUCGCUCGCUCUCUCUUCAUCUCUUCAUCAUGUUUCAUUAUACAUACACAAUUGAUAGAGAGCAGCCAUACGGUUUAAUCGAGUAUGUUUGGCAAUGCUGACAGCCGUAUGUUUAAAAUAGGAAAAGGCCAAAAUGCGCGUGAUGAUGAUUAGAGCGAAUCACGCGUUACACGCGCGAGCCCCAUUCCAAUCUUCGAAUCACAUAAAUUAAAGACAUACCAACAAGAGGACGAAUGAGGCAAAGAGCUAUGUGUUGCUCACACAAAACAUACGAAACAAGAAGACUGAAUAAAAAAAAAACGAACACCGAAAAAAUCAGUUUUGAAAUGAUAACUGAAUCAACAUUGAACAACUCGCAUCGAGCUAUAAACAAAUUGGAGAAUUCUAUUUUGUCGCAGUAAACGAUAAUGCGAACACUAAACAUUGUGUUUGAAUGCGCGAGGCUAAAUACAGAGAAAAAAAACCUUUAUAAAAUUAGAAUUUUGUGUUAUGUGUGCGUUGGUCUGUUUUCUCUCUUCCUCCUUCUUGUGCACGCUGUUAUCAAAAUUUAUUAUUUUUCAGGAUUUUUCCUCAAUAUUCGAGCCGUGAAAUGCGCUUAUUUGUCAACUGUUUAUUUUACCGUUUAGAUUUCUUUCUUUUUCCUUUCUUUCUCUCAUUCUGUUUUUUUCUUCUUUCGUUUGAUUCAAAAAAUGAAAUGCGCUUGACAAAUUUAUUGUCAACUCUAUUUGCCUUUCGGGCGUUUGUGUCCCUGACUGAAAGUCGUAAAUUGAUUACGAACGGCGUGUUCUACACACCGAUUUGAAGCUCGUCUAUGAUUGGCUUCUAUUUUAGCUAGCACACGAUUACGAAAAAGGGACAUUCCGGCUGAAGCUAGAUCACAAAUAGAGUGUUAAUUUGGCUAUUGGUCUGAACAUCCCAAAAUUUAUCGUAUCGAGGUUGAGACGAUUAGCUGUUGAAUAUAAAUGAGAGGAGUUUUGCAGGAAAUGAAAUAAAUUGAUUGAACCAGAUUAACAGCCAAUCGAUGACAGACUAUUGCUGUUUUAUUGGCUUUCAUGAUUGAUGAGCCAUCAUAAUACUCUAUAUAAACAAAUAUACAGAAGCUAAAAAGCUAAACUCCAAGCGCUUCUUUUCUUCUGGUCACAAUGUGUGUAUGUAUGUUUUUGUUUAUUUCGAAUGUCAUAUGUAAACAAAAACAAAUCGAGCGAGAGACGCUACACUUCAAUAAUAAAAUUCAUUGCGCUAUGAACAGCAGAAUAUGCUGUGUGAGAGACAUUGAGAUCGUUUGUAAAUGUACGUUCAAGAAUGCUGAUUACGGAAAUUUUUCAUCAUUGUUCAACUCUUUCUCAACUAAUAUGAUACGAAACCUUCGAAAAAAGUAAUAGAAACCUAAAAUUUAUGUAUUUCGUUCUCUCUCUCUCUUUCUCUCUCUCUUUCUCUCUCUCUCUCUCUCUCUCUCUCUCUCUCUCUCUUGUCUAUAGUCGAUAGAGGCAAAAAUAUUGUCAAAUCAUACAAAUAGUGCGGAGGAAACAAAUUCACACAAGAAUCGUGUAUACAAUUUAACGGAUAGUUAAACAUCAAUAAAUACAUGAUUAAACAAAAAUAAUGAUUGCGCAUUCAAACGAUAGACAUGUCUCCAUUAAACGUCAUUUCGAUUCGAUUAUGUGUACAUAUCGAAAAUGGUUUGGAGUUGCUUCGAGUAUGUUGCCACUGAAAUAUUAUAAUGUCGCAUGGCAUAUCGAACAGCUCUCGAAUCGGUUGCCGAGUCAGUUGCUGUUGUUGUUAUUGUUGUUGUUUUCGUUUACUCGGUCAAUUGUGAGCCCGAAAGAUGAACUCACCGCGGUGAUUGAUAUCAUUUGCAAUUCACAUACUGAAUCUCUACUGAAACGAAACCAAUGCGAAGAACAGAGCGUUUGUUACAUUUUCUACAUUUCUAUUUGUUUUCGUUCGCAAUGAUUUGCUGCUGUUGCUGUCGUUGUUGGUGUAUCUCUUUCGUUGUUGACGCAAAUUCAGUGUUAUUUCCAUAUUUCGAUUCCAAUUACACAUUUAAGCCCGUCGACUUGUUGUCGUUGUCAUUUUGCUGCUGUUACGCCGUCGUAUUAUUAUUUUUUUCUUCUCUCCUUUAUUGAAUAUAAUUCAAAAUGUGACUUGCUUUUGUUCCGAACGGCUGAAAGUGAACAGCGCACAGUGUGCUCGAGUGUUCCAGAUUACAGAAUCGUAUGAUGUGUACGUGUGUGUCUAACUCCAUCCAACUAUCUGUCUGUCUGUCGAUCGGUCGGUCGUUCGAAUGUGUGUCAGUCGAGUUUGUGGCAUGAGGUGGAUGUGUGUGUGUGUGUAUCUGUGAGCGAUAGAGUACUCGCUCGCACAUUCCAUCAACGCAAAUGCAAACUCAAUAAACUGCAGUUUAAAGACUGAAUCUUUUGUGAUUACAAUGUCAUUUGUUCUAAUUGAUCAUUAUCAAAUUGAUUAUAAACUGUUUUAAUACAUCAUUUUGGAGCCGGUGUAUUUGAUGUAUUUCGCUUUGACUUCGUCACAUUUUAUGAUGGUCAUUCGUGCAGUGUCAACCGACCACUCGCCAUAAUCUCUCUCGAGAAUCGAUCAAAUGCAAAAAAAAAAAAAAUUAGUUGCGCCACUGUGAAAUCGUGACCGCUCUCUCGCGAAACACAAGCAACUUUGAAAAAUUAAUUGCGAACGGUGCAAGCGGCGUUAGCAACAAUAAAUGCGAAAUCUUUCACAAAUAUUCAAAGAUCAAAAGAACAAAACUAAUUAAGCCAAUGUGCUGCGCAACUCGAUUAAUGUUGGCCCAGAUUUCAAUAGUUUGCAUCGCAAAAUACUCGACUGCAUUUUGACACCCUGCAUUUAAAUAGCAAUAAAAGCACGAAAUGAAGUUGAUAUUUUCUGUUCAUCAAAAGAGUGUUCAGCAAUAAUCAGUGCGACAACGCUCCUGAACUGGAUACCCUGUAUGAAAUUCAAUUUGAUACAGCAAUUUUUCGUUCGUUUCACCUUUUCAACGGAUUUUAUUUAAUCUUGAUAUUCGAGACAAAGUAGAAGAAAAAAAGACUUUUUGGUACAAAUACAAACAAUAAAAUUCUUUUAAAACAAAUAAAUCGCGAUGGAAUAAAACGCAAACGCAAACACACACACACCACAAUGUAUACCGAGCCGAAUGUAAAUUAUUCGAUAGAAUGUGACAAAAACAAAACAGAAAAAAUAGCAACACAUCGUCUUUUAAAACGACGUACGCGACUGUUUCUUUAUUUUGUUGAAUUCGUCGAAAUUUCACUUGAAAAACAAUUUUAUAUGAUAUUGUUUUGACACGCAGAGUACGUCUUACGUAUGGCUUUGCUAACAUUAGCCAAAAAGAUAUUGCGUCAAUACAUGCCAGCCACAUCAUUGUUCACUUUGUGUGGAAGUUUAAGGAUGGGGACGAAACGUUUAAAAGCAGCCAGGAACAGAUGUUGCGUCAAAUUCAAUUUUAUUCUUGAUUGUUGCGGCGUGGCGGUGGCACGGGUGAAAAAAUGAGACACUUCAUACGUUGGUGUGAAGUGAUAACAGCAUUUUAUGCCAACGCAUAAUAUUGAAAAAUGACGAUAAAAAUCGAAACAUCAACUCAAUAAUGACAUGGUAAUAAUAAAACGGUAGUCAACAGCAAAUUUUCCAUGCAGUUACAUUUUAUAACAGCAGCCGCUUCUGCUGCUCACACAGCCAUUUGGAGCAGAUUCAAUGAACCACCGACUGAACACACCUCGACUUCAUUGUACUAUGUUAUGCAUUGAAUGGAAAUUCGGAAUACAGACCAUGGAGAAGGAAAAUUUAUAGAAAUAUGUUUUGUAGUCUUUCACAUGAAAAACUCAAUAAAAUUUUAAAUAUUCCAAUGAAAUUUUUAACA